This 432-nucleotide ribosomal RNA is filed under the name uncultured bacterium. Its description in RNAcentral is "bacterial SSU rRNA". It matches the Rfam family "Bacterial small subunit ribosomal RNA", at positions 78 to 512 of the family's 1533-position model. The record is from RNAcentral.
UUGCUACCCGCUGACGAGCGGCGGACGGGUGAGUAAUGCAUAGGAAUUUACCCGGUAGUGGGGGAUAACCUGGGGAAACCCAGGCUAAUACCGCAUACGUCCUACGGGAGAAAGGGGGCCUUGGCUCCCGCUAUCGGAUGAGCCUAUGCCGGAUUAGCUGGUUGGUGAGGUAAUGGCUCACCAAGGCGACGAUCCGUAGCUGGUCUGAGAGGAUGAUCAGCCACAUCGGGACUGAGACACGGCCCGAACUCCUACGGGAGGCAGCAGUGGGGAAUAUUGGACAAUGGGCGCAAGCCUGAUCCAGCCAUGCCGCGUGUGUGAAGAAAGCCCUCGGGUUGUAAAGCACUUUCAGCGAGGAAGAACGCCUGGCGGUUAAUACCCGCCAGGAAAGACAUCACUCGCAGAAGAAGCACCGGCUAACUCCGUGCCAGC